GGCGGCAUAGCAAGCGGUAAGGCCGUGGAUUGCAAAUCUCUAUUCCCCAGUUCAAAUCUGGGUGCCGCCU
This 70-nucleotide transfer RNA is filed under the name Chlamydomonas reinhardtii. Its description in RNAcentral is "tRNA-Cys". It matches the Rfam family "tRNA". From Rfam's summary of the family: Transfer RNA (tRNA) molecules are approximately 80 nucleotides in length. Their secondary structure includes four short double-helical elements and three loops (D, anti-codon, and T loops). Further hydrogen bonds mediate the characteristic L-shaped molecular structure. tRNAs have two regions of fundamental functional importance: the anti-codon, which is responsible for specific mRNA codon recognition, and the 3' end, to which the tRNAs corresponding amino acid is attached (by aminoacyl-tRNA synthetases). tRNAs cope with the degeneracy of the genetic code in two manners: having more than one tRNA (with a specific anti-codon) for a particular amino acid; and 'wobble' base-pairing, i.e. permitting non-standard base-pairing at the 3rd anti-codon position. Lineage: Eukaryota; Viridiplantae; Chlorophyta; Chlorophyceae; Chlamydomonadales; Chlamydomonadaceae. The record is from RNAcentral.